GGUUUUGUCGUUCAAUGGAUAGGACUGCUGGCUUCGAACCAGCCAAUGCGGGUUCGAGCCCUGCCGGAACCA
RNAcentral lists this transfer RNA (72 nucleotides) under Hymenobacter artigasi. RNAcentral describes it as "Hymenobacter sp. 1B tRNA-Arg". It matches the Rfam family "tRNA". From Rfam's summary of the family: Transfer RNA (tRNA) molecules are approximately 80 nucleotides in length. Their secondary structure includes four short double-helical elements and three loops (D, anti-codon, and T loops). Further hydrogen bonds mediate the characteristic L-shaped molecular structure. tRNAs have two regions of fundamental functional importance: the anti-codon, which is responsible for specific mRNA codon recognition, and the 3' end, to which the tRNAs corresponding amino acid is attached (by aminoacyl-tRNA synthetases). tRNAs cope with the degeneracy of the genetic code in two manners: having more than one tRNA (with a specific anti-codon) for a particular amino acid; and 'wobble' base-pairing, i.e. permitting non-standard base-pairing at the 3rd anti-codon position. The record is from RNAcentral. Lineage: Bacteria; Pseudomonadati; Bacteroidota; Cytophagia; Cytophagales; Hymenobacteraceae.